Long non-coding RNA from Oreochromis niloticus (Nile tilapia), 1390 nucleotides. RefSeq annotates it as NLR family CARD domain-containing protein 3. The transcript is spliced from 3 exons. The record is from RefSeq and is a predicted model, not a curated record. NCBI's taxonomy places the organism in Eukaryota, Metazoa, Chordata, Actinopteri, Cichliformes, Cichlidae.
GUCUGGAUGUGACAGAGGCCUCGGUGUACUCAGGAGUUUGUACAGAGAUCUUCAAAAGAGAGUGUGUGAUCUUCCAGAAACCAGUCUACUGCUUUGUUCAUCUGAGCAUUCAGGAGUUUCUGGCUGCAAUCUACAUGUUCCACUGUUUCACCAGCAGGAAGGCAAAAGUGGUAGAAGGUUUUCUAGGGAAUAUCCGAGAAGAAUACAAAAACAGAUCUUUCAGGUCUUAUAGGAUGGAUGUCUUAUAUGGACCUUAUAUGGCUGUCUUAUUGACUAAAGCCAUGGAGAAAUCCCUCCAGAGUAAAAAUGGCCACCUGGACCUGUUUGUUCGCUUCCUUCAUGGCCUCUGUCUGGAGUCCAACCAGAGACUCUUAGGAGGUCUGCUGGGUCAGAUGGAGAUCCGGCCAGAAACCAUCCAGAGAGUCAUCAACAACCUGAAGGAGAUGAACAGUGAUGAAAUCUCUCCUGACAGAAGCAUCAACAUCUUCCACUGUCUGAUGGAGAUGAACCACCUCUCAUUAUUUCAGGAGAUCCAAGAGUUCCUGAAGUCAGAGAACAGAUCAGAGAAGAAACUCUCUGAGAUCCAGUGCUCAGCUCUGGCCUUCAUGCUGCAGAUGUCAGAGGAGGUUCUGGAUGAGUUGGACCUGCAGAAGUACAACACAUCAGAGCAGGGACGACAGAGACUGAUUCCAGCUGUGAGGAACUGCAGAAAGGCUCGACUGAGUCACUGUGACCUGUCAGAGAGAAGCUGUGAAGCUCUGGCCUUAGGUCUCAGGUCUCAGACCUCUAAUCUGAUAAAGCUGGACCUGAGUAACAACGACCUGAAUGAUUCAGGCGUGAAGCUUCUGUCUGAAGGACUGAAGAGUCCACACUGUACACUGGAAACUCUCAGGCUGCCCACUGGGAUUGGAAUUGAAACGAUGGGACGAGGCGCGACUUCUCUGAACGAACGCAGCAUGGUCAACAACUUGGAGAUGCUUACAGCUGCCGUGAAGACUCAACAUAACAGCAUUGAGCGAAUAUUGGGAUACAUCAAAGAGAGGCCUGCUCAGGAUGAUAACAUUGAGCGGAAGUUGGAUCACAUCGCAGAACGGAUCACUGCAGCUGUGGGGUCUCAGAAUCAAAAGAAUGACACCACCACGGAACGGAAGUUUGAUACCAUCAUGGGGAGGCUCGCGGCUAUCCAACGGGAGAUCGAGAGACCAGUGUCGGAGUGUUAAAAGAACAGCUUUGAAAUUCUCCUGAGCUGCUCGCAGAAAAGGAAAAUUAACGACAUCAACAUGCGGACACCAUGGCGCCAGCUGCGGGUCCAAGGCUGGUGCCGAACAAUUCCCUGAUAACGACUGUGUAUUGACUGUUCUUCCCACUCUAUGCAAGGCCACCUGGGUUG